This 253-nucleotide ribosomal RNA is filed under the name uncultured bacterium. RNAcentral's name for it is "partial 16S ribosomal RNA". It matches the Rfam family "Bacterial small subunit ribosomal RNA", at positions 524 to 776 of the family's 1533-position model. The record is from RNAcentral.
UACAGAGGGUGCAAGCGUUGUUCGGAAUUACUGGGCGUAAAGGGCGCGUAGGCGGGUCGUUUAGUUAGAGGUGAAAGCCCAGGGCUCAACCCUGGAAUUGCCUUUAAUACUGGCGGCCUUGAGUAUGGCAGAGGUGUGUGGAACUCCGAGUGUAGAGGUGAAAUUCGUAGAUAUUCGCAAGAACACCAGUGGCGAAGGCGGCUCACUGGCCCGAUACUGACGCUGAGGCGCGAAAGCCAGGGGAGCAAACGGG